RNAcentral lists this ribosomal RNA (906 nucleotides) under uncultured archaeon. Its description in RNAcentral is "bacterial SSU rRNA". It matches the Rfam family "Archaeal small subunit ribosomal RNA", at positions 21 to 904 of the family's 1478-position model. The record is from RNAcentral.
CCCUACUGCUAUCGGGAUGAGACUAAAACAUGCUAGUUGUGCGCUCCCUAGCCACGUUGGGAACGCAGCGAACGGCUCCGUAACACGUAGUUAAUCUGCCCUUAGGACGGGGAUAACCCCGGGAAACUGGGGCUAAUACCCGAUAGGCGGAAAAGCCUGGAAUGGUCUUUCACCUAAAGGGUUUCAGGAACAUGCUCCUGAGACUGCCUAAGGAUGAGACUGCGAUCGAUCAGGUUGUUGGUGGGGUAACGGCCUACCAAGCCUAUAACCGGUACGGGCCCUGAGAGGGGGAGCCCGGAGAUGGGAACUGAGACAAGGUCCCAGACCCUACGGGGUGCAGCAGUUGCGAAACCUCUACAAUGCACGAAAGUGUGAUAGGGUUAUCCCGAGUGCCGUCCGAUGAGGAUGGCUUUUCCCCGGUGUAAGGAGCCGGGGGAAUAAAGGGGGGGCAAGACUGGUGUCAGCCGCCGCGGUAAUACCAGCCCCCUGAGUGGUGGGGACGAUUAUUUGGCCUAAAGCGUCCGUAGCCGGCUUAGCAAGUCUUUCGUUAAAUCCGGCGACUUAAUCGUCGAGCUGCGAGAGAUACUACUAGGCUAGAGGACGGGAGAGGUCGACGGUAUUCCGGGGGGAGGGGUAAAAUCCUAUAAUCCUCGGAGGACCACCAGUGGCGAAGGCGGUCGACUAGAACGUGCCUGACGGUGAUGGACGAAAGCUGGGGGAGCAAACCGGAUUAGACACCCGGGUAGUCCCAGCCGUAAACGAUGCGGGCUAGGUGUUGGGGCAGCCACGAGCUGCUCCAGUGCCGCAGAGAAGUCGUUAAGCCCGCCGCCUGGGAAGUACGGUCGCAAGACUGAAACUUAAAGGAAUUGGCGGGGGAGCACCACAAGGGGUGAAGCCUGCGGUUCA